GUAGGGUGCAAGCGUUAAUCGGAAUUACUGGGCGUAAAGCGUGCGCAGGCGGUUUUGUAAGUCAGAUGUGAAAUCCCCGGGCUUAACCUGGGAACUGCGUUUGAAACUACAAGGCUAGAGUGUGGCAGAGGGGGGUGGAAUUCCACGUGUAGCAGUGAAAUGCGUAGAGAUGUGGAGGAACACCGAUGGCGAAGGCAGCCCCCUGGGUUAACACUGACGCUCAGGCACGAAAGCGUGGGGAGCAAACAGGAUUAGGUACCCUGGUAGUCCACGCCCUAAACGAUGUCAACUAGUUGUCGGGUCUUAACGGACUUGGUAACGCAGCUAACGCGUGAAGUUGACCGCCUGGGGAGUACGGUCGCAAGAUUA
This 369-nucleotide ribosomal RNA is filed under the name uncultured bacterium. Its description in RNAcentral is "bacterial SSU rRNA". It matches the Rfam family "Bacterial small subunit ribosomal RNA", at positions 527 to 896 of the family's 1533-position model. The record is from RNAcentral.